Cyanistes caeruleus (blue tit) is the source of this 158-nucleotide non-coding RNA. The record is from RefSeq and is a predicted model, not a curated record. NCBI's taxonomy places the organism in Eukaryota, Metazoa, Chordata, Aves, Passeriformes, Paridae.
GGAAUUGAAAGAAGAACACUUUCAUUUUUGAGCAGCAGUUGAAACACUUGCAUUGUUUCUACAUUCCUGUGGCAAAACAAAUUACUGGGAGUAUUUCUUCAAAUAAUUUGGAAAAGUCUUAAUAAACACAUAUACAGACUAUAUCUGCGCUACCUGAA